UUUAUGGAGAGUUUGAUCCUGGCUCAGGACGAACGCUGGCGGCGUGCCUAAUACAUGCAAGUCGAGCGGACUCAACGGUUUCCUUCGGGAAACCGUUAGGUUAGCGGCGGACGGGUGAGUAAUACGUAGGUAACCUGCCCUUAAGACUGGGAUAACUCACGGAAACGUGGGCUAAUACCGGAUAGGCGAUUUGCUCGCAUGAGGGAAUCGGGAAAGGCGGAGCAAUCUGCCACUUAUGGAUGGACCUACGUCGCAUUAGCUAGUUGGUGGGGUAACGGCUCACCAAGGCGACGAUGCGUAGCCGACCUGAGAGGGUGAUCGGCCACACUGGGACUGAGACACGGC
Molecule: non-coding RNA, 345 nt
Filed under: Paenibacillus popilliae ATCC 14706
Lineage: Bacteria; Bacillati; Bacillota; Bacilli; Caryophanales; Paenibacillaceae
Description: Bacterial small subunit ribosomal RNA
Rfam family: Bacterial small subunit ribosomal RNA
Source: Rfam by way of RNAcentral